This 251-nucleotide ribosomal RNA is filed under the name Glomus sp. Ba1. Its description in RNAcentral is "partial large subunit ribosomal RNA". It matches the Rfam family "Eukaryotic large subunit ribosomal RNA", at positions 325 to 559 of the family's 3401-position model. Lineage: Eukaryota; Fungi; Glomeromycota; Glomeromycetes; Glomerales; Glomeraceae. The record is from RNAcentral.
GGCGAGAGACAGAGAGCGAACAAGUUACCGUGAGGGAAAGAUGAAAAGAACUUUGAAAAGAGAGUUAAACAGUACGUGAAAUUGUUGAAAGGGAGACGAUUGAAGCCAGUCGUACCUNCGGGUAAUCAGCCUCCUGGGUGUGAUUUUGUGGAGCGUGAAGAGUUAAACGCCUUCAUGCCUGCAUAUUCGUGCACUUUGGGUGUACUUGCCCGUAUGGUUGGUUAACAUCAAUUUUGAUGGNCACAAAAUGA